RNAcentral lists this microRNA precursor (60 nucleotides) under Panagrellus redivivus. RNAcentral describes it as "microRNA prd-mir-239 precursor". Its record names the gene prd-mir-239. Lineage: Eukaryota; Metazoa; Nematoda; Chromadorea; Rhabditida; Panagrolaimidae. The record is from miRBase by way of RNAcentral.
AUUGUACUCUCCAAGGUUUUCUGAUUUAUUGGAACUCAGAAGCUUGGUGCAGUACAAAGG